AUACGUAGGGUGCAAGCGUUAAUCGGAAUUACUGGGCGUAAAGCGUGCGCAGGCGGUUUUGUAAGACAGUGGUGAAAUCCCCCGGCUCAACCUGGGAACUGCCAUUGUUACUGCAAGGCUGGAGUGCGGCAGAGGGGGAUGGAAUUUCGCGUGUAGCAGUGAAAUGCGUAGAUAUGCGGAGGAACACCGAUGGCGAAGGCAAUCCCCUGGGCCUGCACUGACGCUCAUGCACGAAAGCGUGGGAGCAAACAGGAUUAGAUACCCUGGUAGUCCACGCCCUAAACGAUGUCAACUGGUUGUUGGGGAUUUAUUUUCUCAGUAACGAAGCUAACGCGUGAAGUUGACCGCCUGGGGAGUACGGCCGCAAGGUUAAAACUCAAAUGAAUUGACGGGG
This 394-nucleotide ribosomal RNA is filed under the name uncultured bacterium. Its description in RNAcentral is "partial 16S ribosomal RNA". It matches the Rfam family "Bacterial small subunit ribosomal RNA", at positions 523 to 918 of the family's 1533-position model. The record is from RNAcentral.